AUAAUAUUCAGACCCUUUUUUGCCUUUCUAAUUUGAAACCAUGUUUUACAGGUCAGAGUGCGAUUACAUUCAUCUACGACUUUGUGGAGGAAUUCAAAGGACCCCAUCCUGGAUUUGCUGCCAUUGAUGGGCGGCCAUCAACAGGCUCACUGGCUAAGCUGCUGCUAACACUGACAGGAGAGAAAGGUCCGGAGGCUCUAGAGCUGCAGGAGGUUGUUCUCAUGGAGGUGUCCGGGGUCAAAGUGUCUAAUGGAACCAUUGAGAAAAUGGGUAAUGGAGAUUACCUGGUUACUGUGAACGAAGUGCCAGAAGGAGAGUUUGUAGUAAUGCUGAAAGGAAAAGACAAGACCUUCACCAGCCUGUUCCAGAGGCAGACCACCACACAGAUGUCUCAAGUCUAAAGUCACCAUCAAGGCAAUAGCAGACAGCUCCAUGCUACCAGGACAAGUAUUUAAACUCAAUUUUACUGUUACAACCAAUGGAACCAGUGGUAUCUACACAAUCCGUGCAAGGAAUGACAAAAACAUCCCUAUGACACAUCCAUCAACGUAAUUUCUUCACUUGGUUCUCAAAUCACUCCGUAAUGACUGACAUACAAGCUUUAAUCAGCUUUUCUUAUCAAGAACAAAACUCUUUGCUACAAUUCUGUUUCUUUGCCCUCACAGGCUCAAUCUCGUGAGUGGCGGCAGUGCUCAGGGGACAGUGUCUCUCACUCCACCUGGUAAUACGGUCUCAG
This 736-nucleotide long non-coding RNA is filed under the name Sinocyclocheilus anshuiensis. RNAcentral describes it as "lncRNA (ENSSANG00000002828.1)". Lineage: Eukaryota; Metazoa; Chordata; Actinopteri; Cypriniformes; Cyprinidae. The record is from RNAcentral.